GAUGAACGCUGGCGGCGUGCCUAAUACAUGCAAGUCGAACGCUGGAACUCUAGCUUGCUAGAUUGAAGGAGUGGCGAACGGGUGAGUAAUACAUAAGCAACCUACCCACGAAGGCUGGGAUAAUCUCUGGAAACGGGGACUAAUACCGGAUAGGUAAUCGGAAGGCAUCUUCUGAUUAUUAAAGGUUAAAAACACUGGUGGAUGGGCUUAUGGCGCAUUAGUUAGUUGGUGAGGUAACGGCCCACCAAGACGAUGAUGCGUAGCCGGCCUGAGAGGGUGAACGGCCACAUUGGGACUGAGACACGGCCCAGACUCCUACGGGAGGCAGCAGUAGGGAAUUUUCGGCAAUGGGGGAAACCCUGACCGAGCAACGCCGCGUGAGUGAUGACGGCCUUCGGGUUGUAAAGCUCUGUUGUAAGGGAAGAACGGUAGAUAGAGAAUAUCUAAAUGACGGUACCUUACCAGAAAGCCACGGCUAACUACGUG
Molecule: ribosomal RNA, 486 nt
Filed under: uncultured bacterium
Lineage: Bacteria
Description: partial 16S ribosomal RNA
Rfam family: Bacterial small subunit ribosomal RNA
Source: RNAcentral